CUACGGGUUGCAGCAGUGAGGAAUAUUGCACAAUGGGGGGAACCCUGAUGCAGCAACGCCGCGUGGAGGAUGACGCAUUUCGGUGUGUAAACUCCUUUAUAUGUCAAGAAAAUGACGGUAGCAUAUGAAUAAGCACCGGCUAACUCCGUGCCAGCAGCCGCGGUAAUACGGAGGGUGCAAGCGUUACUCGGAAUCACUGGGCGUAAAGGACGCGUAGGCGGGUUGGAAAGUCAGGUGUGAAAUCCUACAGCUUAACUGUAGAACUGCACUUGAAACUUCUAAUCUAGAGUAUGGGAGGGGGAGAUGGAAUUAGUGGUGUAGGGGUAAAAUCCGUAGAUAUCACUAGGAAUACCUAAAGCGAAGGCGAUCUCCUGGAACAUUACUGACGCUAAGGCGUGAAAGCGUGGGGAGCAAACAGGAUUAGAUACCCGGGUAGUC
This 438-nucleotide ribosomal RNA is filed under the name uncultured bacterium. Its description in RNAcentral is "partial 16S ribosomal RNA". It matches the Rfam family "Bacterial small subunit ribosomal RNA", at positions 339 to 795 of the family's 1533-position model. The record is from RNAcentral.